RNAcentral lists this long non-coding RNA (1349 nucleotides) under Canis lupus familiaris (dog). Its description in RNAcentral is "lncRNA (ENSCAFG00845006834.1)". The record is from RNAcentral. Lineage: Eukaryota; Metazoa; Chordata; Mammalia; Carnivora; Canidae.
AAAAAAUUAAUGUGGUUGUACAAAAGAUUUUGCUCUUAGCAUAACGAUUGUGGAGGUAUUUGACAACGAACUAUCAUAAUGUCUAUAUCUUACUUUCACAGGAUACUGCAGUGACAAUAAAAUUUAAGAAAAGCUUAAAUAUAUAAUUGUAUAUAGUUGAUUUAUUACCUAUAUAAUUUAGACAAAGCAAAAAAUGCUAAAAUCUGCUGAAACUAUUUAGGGCAUAUAUCAUUAUUUAUUGUACUCAAAUUUUCUAUAUACUUGAACAUUUUGUGAGAAAAAUGUUGGAAAAUAAAAUUUAAAAGUAAAUUAGCACACUUAUUUGCAUGAUGCAAGACCAGAGAGAAAACAAAAACAUAAGGCUUCAAAAUCUUUGAUGAAGACAUAAUUAGAGACUACUCAAUCAUAGAUUGCCCUAAAACUUUUAUGUCAUCCCUGGAAAGCUAUUUUAUCAAUAUAACUAAAUUUCUGUUUAAUCUAGCAAUUUGAGAAAUAACCAUUAAUUUAAUUCAUAGCCUCAUUAUUCCUCCUAUAUGAAAAGCAUCAUUCAAAAAUGAAGAUGAAUUAAAUACAUCUGGAGGAUAACGAACGCUGAGUGAUUCUGUCACCGAUAGAACCAUAGUAAAGGAAACACUAAAGGUUAUUCUUCAAGCAGAAGAAAAAAAGCAUCCAAAAUGUAAUACCAGACAUGCAGAAAAUGACAAAAAAACGUGAAACAUUUAACAAUGUGGGUAAAUCUAAGUAAAUGUUGGCUGUAUAAUAAAAAUAAACUUAAUUUUCUAUAGUGUGCAUGUGGUGAUUUUCAUUUUUAAUCAUGGCAGGAUAACUGGCUAUACAUAAUGUAAAACCUGGAAAAUCAAAUGGAAUAAUUAUUUCCAAAUCUGAAGAACAAGCAGCAGAAAACUAUGAUCCCCAAGAGCAAAUGGAAACAGGUAAUGCAAGAUCCGUCACUGCCUCAGUUUUCUUAUGGAAGCACUUUUCUGGCAGCAGUACAGAGAGAGGAAGCAUCAAGACACAGUUUCAUUGAGAUAAAAUGUGAACUCUACAAGGAGAAGGAAGUAUUUUUGCUCCUACUACAUCUACAGUACUGCAAGAAGGGCUUGUAUGAAUUUGGUAAGCAAGAAGAGUUGUUGUUGUAAUAUCUUUUAGUCUACCCAAAACUCAAAUAAAGGCAAAUAAGACUAAGGUAUUUUUUUAUUUACCUAAAGAGUUUUAAAAAUCCUAAUUCAUACCCUAUAUUAGCUCCUAUGUUAAUAGGCAAAUUUAUAAUAUUUAAUCUUUUUUGUCUAAAACAAGAAUUGGCAGUUUGGAUUACACAUUUAGUCAUUUUGGAUGACUGAGAAUGGUAA